This 253-nucleotide ribosomal RNA is filed under the name uncultured bacterium. RNAcentral describes it as "partial 16S ribosomal RNA". It matches the Rfam family "Bacterial small subunit ribosomal RNA", at positions 524 to 776 of the family's 1533-position model. The record is from RNAcentral.
UACGAAGGGGGCUAGCGUUGCUCGGAAUCACUGGGCGUAAAGCGCACGUAGGCGGGUCGUUAAGUCAGGGGUGAAAUCCUGGAGCUCAACUCCGGAACUGCCUUUGAUACUGGCGAUCUCGAGUUCGGGAGAGGUGAGUGGAACUGCGAGUGUAGAGGUGAAAUUCGUAGAUAUUCGCAAGAACACCAGUGGCGAAGGCGGCUCACUGGCCCGAUACUGACGCUGAGGUGCGAAAGCGUGGGGAGCAAACAGG